UCUCAUGCCAAGCGUGCCCAGCAUUUGCACA
Molecule: non-coding RNA, 31 nt
Filed under: Macaca fascicularis (crab-eating macaque)
Lineage: Eukaryota; Metazoa; Chordata; Mammalia; Primates; Cercopithecidae
Also listed under: 1 other name
Source: RNAcentral